AUUCAAUAAAAAAUUAUAAAGAUUCAAGCGCAUAUGCAAGUAUAACAACGUACCUAUAUAAUAACAAAAUUGUUUCGAACAAAAAUACAAAACAUAUUUCAAGUAUAUUUCAAGCGUUAUUACAAAUACUGACUAAAAGAUGUCGUUAUCAAACACAACCCGAAACGUGGACUCAUUCCGUCCGUUAACCACCCCUGCACACUGAUUAUUUAUUUAUUUAUUUAUUUAUUAAUACUUAAGUAUAUAAUAAAGUAGGAGACAUAAAAAUAAAGUUCAAAAAAAUAAAUUUGGCAUUCCCGCGUAAUUUCGAAAAUACAUUUCUGAUAGAAAAGAUUAAAAGCUUGUGUAUUGAUCCAUCUGCAUGUGGAUUCACGCGACAACCGCAUUGUAGAUUUAAAAAUUUCACCUAACACGUAGUACAAAUGGCACGGACACCAAAACUCUAAAAUUAAUGGUGUCUUAACAAAGUUUGAAGACCAAACAAACGGAUUUGGAACUGCAAAGCGACACUACAUUUUUUUAUAAUUUACUAAUACCCGAAAAAGCACAAUUCUUCACGAUCACAUAUGUCUGAGAGUGUUACAGCCGAAUUUGUUGACAACAUUCAGUUAGCUGUGCGGUGGUAAAAAUUUUUCACACAAUUUCUACCCAAUCCAUGCACUAAAAUUAAGUACCUAUUUUUCUCAUUGUAGCUAUAUAUUAUUUAUUUAGAACCCAAAAGCUUUAGCCUAAUUUCCUAUCGUCAAUUGCUACUUAGUAUUAGUUUUUUUUGUUAUUCUACAUGUGCGCCUAUCGAGUAGGGUAAAUAUGAACGGAAUGUUUUAAUUUUCUUGCUUUCAUUGCCCUAACGUAAAUAUCAUAAUUUAUCAAGUUAAUCAAGAUGUCAAAUAUUUACUUUUCAAAAUUAAAUGUGUGCUUUGAUAACGAAAAUUAAGUCUUCAGUUAAUGUUUUCGUUGUUUUUACGUAAUUAAGCGAAAGAAUUAAAAGUUGCAUUUUCCGGCUUGAAAAAAUACCGAAAAAAGUCCGUUCGAAAUUAUUGAUAAAUAUUCGGAUACGGCCCUGGAGGGUGUAUCCUUGGCCAGAAACCUCUGCCAGAAGACUCAGAAAACGCCCAAUAAAAUAGUGGGCAUCAUUUGAUUUUCUUUACUUUGCGAAGGAGCGGUGAAAUAGUUGAACGUCGGGAUUUUCAACAAAAUCAAAAAAUUUAAAAAAGACAUUUUCCGACACACGUCAGUAGCCCAGUUUUUUGCGAGUUUAGCAGUUUUCUUUUAAAUUUCACGUA
Agrilus planipennis (emerald ash borer) is the source of this 1283-nucleotide long non-coding RNA. RefSeq lists it as uncharacterized. The record is from RefSeq and is a predicted model, not a curated record. NCBI's taxonomy places the organism in Eukaryota, Metazoa, Arthropoda, Insecta, Coleoptera, Buprestidae. The transcript has 2 exons.